AAACUUUCAGCAACGGAUCUCUUGGUUCUGGCAUCGAUGAAGAACGCAGCGAAAUGCGAUAAGUAAUGUGAAUUGCAGAAUUCAGUGAAUCAUCGAAUCUUUGAACGCACAUUGCGCCCGCCAGUACUCUGGCGGGCAUGCCUGUCCGAGCGU
This 153-nucleotide ribosomal RNA is filed under the name Geosmithia omnicola. Its description in RNAcentral is "5.8S ribosomal RNA". It matches the Rfam family "5.8S ribosomal RNA". Rfam says of the family: 5.8S ribosomal RNA (5.8S rRNA) is a component of the large subunit of the eukaryotic ribosome. It is transcribed by RNA polymerase I as part of the 45S precursor that also contains 18S and 28S rRNA. Lineage: Eukaryota; Fungi; Ascomycota; Sordariomycetes; Hypocreales; Bionectriaceae. The record is from RNAcentral.